AGCCAACAUCCAUCCUUAGUUCACCAGAAUUCGAAGAAAGAAAGAGAGGAGGAGACUUCAUUUGCUGCAUCCAAAACUCCAAGCAAAUCCCCACUGAACUAAAGGAAAACGCAUCAGCUAAUCAAGCACGAAAUACACAAGGUAUUCACACCAUCUCAGUUCAGUUUAAAUCCAUGCUUCAUACCAUCAAGCAUACAUUUCAGUUGUAUAGAAAUACAUAUGCAGCAAACAUAGAAUGAUAAAGAACUAGAUGAUUAGCCCAAUCACAGUUAAUAUAUGUUUCUUCGUGAGAUAGACGAUGAGAAUUCAUAAGACAUUAGAAGACAGCACUGCCUAGUUUUAACCUUUUGCAUAAUCAACAUAUAUAUAUAGGAACCAAGAGAAUCACAUUUAUACAGAACUAGAAAGAAAAUAAGAAAACUCUAUCCUGAUUAACUGCAUCCUGAGUUGGGAAACGAGCCGGGAGAGCUCGGCUUAUGCUCGAGUGUUGAAUUGAGGACCAAUGACUGAUAGACGAGGGAGAGGUGUGGACUGCCGAGAACGAUGGUUCGGAGAGCUAGAACCAAGGGAAGUUCUGUCCCGAGGGACAGAGCGGCAACGACUCGAGACGGCGUGACGACGCGGCGAAGGAACCGAGCAGAGCAGCGCCAAAAGCAGGGUGCGGCCUCACCGGAGAGUCAGCGGCAGCGGCAUCCGCGGCGGACAAACUCCAGCGACAAUGAACGUCGUAGACGGCGGCGAGAACCCACAAUCUCCGGCCAG
RNAcentral lists this long non-coding RNA (762 nucleotides) under Salvia miltiorrhiza (redroot sage). Its description in RNAcentral is "long non-coding RNA (SMIL_LNC006705)". Lineage: Eukaryota; Viridiplantae; Streptophyta; Magnoliopsida; Lamiales; Lamiaceae. The record is from RNAcentral.